UCUCUCUAAGUCACACUUAGAGAGAGAAGCUCUCCCCUCUCUCUAAAGCAGCUCGCCGGAGAAGAAGGAGGAAGAAGCUCCGGCGCGGCGGCCGGCCGGUUUCCGGCGGCGGCGCCACCGCGCCGGAAAAUUCAAACUAUUUUUUUUUCAAAAUUUUUAUACCAAAAGCUUCGUCUCCUCCUCCUCUAGACAAAUCCGGCACUAGUUUUAGAAAGGGCUGAGAGAUUUGGGCUAGAUCUACACUUGAACUUCGAAAAAAAUUUCACACUUUUUUUGAAAAAAAUAACUACGGAUCUAGAUAUCAUUUUCUCUCUAGAGUCCGAAUCCGGCCUCAAAAUUUCCAAAAUCCGAACACAAGAGCCUAGAUCUACAAAUACAUAUCCGUAACAAACUUUUUCACACUUUUUCUACACUAUAUGCGCGCGCGCGAAAAUGAAGAAAAAGAGGAGAGAAAUGCGUUACCUCUGUCGUAGAACGGAGAAAAAUCUUCGGAAAACUUCGAAUCUCCUUUUUUCCCCCUCCGUGCGCGCGCGUUUCCACUCCGUUUGUGGUUGUUUUUGCUCAAAAAUCCGGUACGUUUUGGUGUUGAUGUGAUGAUUCGCGGUGGUUUUGAGUGAAUCCGGUUCGGAUUUGUUGAUUUUGUGGUGAUUGGAGUUGAUUCUGAGCAGAUCCGGUUUAGAUCUGUUGAUUUUGGUGAUGAUGUGUUCUUGGUGUUCUUCCUCUUUUUUUCUGAGAUUUUUUCUGUUUUGAUUCUGUUAUGGAUGAGAGAGAGAAAAAGAUUCUGUUUGAGACUGAUUGUGAUUGAUUCUGAUUUUUUUCUGACUGAUUGUGAUGGAUCUGACACAUUUACUAUUUAUAGCCUGCCAUGUGUAUCUGAGAACCAAUGAAAAAAUGACAUCUGGUUUGGGACUGAUGUGGAUCGAAAAUCUGGACUAAAAUGCCCCUGGGACCUUUCUGCAAAAUAAAAAACUUGAAGGACUGGACAGCAAUAAAAAAUGGACUAAAAUGAAAUUUUUAAAAGUUUUGGACCAAAACGUGAUUAAAAAUAAAAUUGGACUAAAAAGUAAAUUUGACGAAACGUAAAGCGAAACCAAAAAUAAAAUUAACAAAAGGACUAAAACGAACCAAUUAC
Molecule: long non-coding RNA, 1132 nt
Filed under: Medicago truncatula (barrel medic)
Lineage: Eukaryota; Viridiplantae; Streptophyta; Magnoliopsida; Fabales; Fabaceae
Description: lncRNA gene22499
Source: RNAcentral